CAAAAACAUAGCUAAGUGAUUCACACUUAGUGUUUUCUGCUCAAUGAGAUUUUAAAUAGCCGCAGUACCCUGACUGUGCAAAGGUAGCGCAAUCACUUGACUUUUAAUUGAAGUCGCGUAUGAACGAAUAUAUGGGGGCUUUCUUUACCAUUAAUAUAAAUUGAACUUAUUUAGUUAGUGCAAAUGCUAACAGCUAAAUAGUAGACGAGAAGACCCUAGAAAUUUUAAUUGCUUUUUGUUGGGGCAACAUGAUAACAGUCAAUUUAUUUUUGUAUAUGACAUAUUGUUGGUUAAAUUAAAUUACUCUAGGGAUAACAGCAUAAUAUAAAAAUGUUUGUGACCUCGAUGUUGGAUUAGGAAAUUGUAAUCUAGAAGACAAUCAAUCUUGCUCUGUUCGCGCA
This 401-nucleotide ribosomal RNA is filed under the name Sulcobasis sp. Wau. RNAcentral describes it as "partial 16S ribosomal RNA". It matches the Rfam family "Archaeal large subunit ribosomal RNA", at positions 1900 to 2656 of the family's 2987-position model. Lineage: Eukaryota; Metazoa; Mollusca; Gastropoda; Stylommatophora; Camaenidae. The record is from RNAcentral.